CGCUUGCCGCGCACACAGGUGUCGCCCCUGGCUGCUUGUAUGUUGCAGGAGAUAGAGGAGAGGAGCACGCGAAUUUGCUAAAUCCAAUAGUGGCGGGAAGAUCAUCUUCAAGAUGAGGACUGCAUUGCUUUGUUUUGCUUUGGGGGUGAUGCUGCGAGGAACUGAGGCGAAGGAUUGUGCGUGUACUGGGAAGUCCAUGUGUCACUGUGAAGGAGUUAAAGGCAAUAAGGGAGAAAGGGGUUGUGCAGGAGAGAUGGGUCCACCUGGGUUGGUUGGGCAUCCAGGCUCAGAGGGUCACCCUGGACCAGUGGGGCCAAAGGGAGAUGUGGGCCCUCAUGGACCUCCAGGAACAGAUGGCGAUCGGGGACCUGAAGGCAAAGAAGGAUUUUCUGCGACACCAAGGUCUACCGG
Salvelinus sp. IW2-2015 is the source of this 411-nucleotide long non-coding RNA. RefSeq lists it as uncharacterized. The transcript is spliced from 5 exons. The record is from RefSeq and is a predicted model, not a curated record. NCBI's taxonomy places the organism in Eukaryota, Metazoa, Chordata, Actinopteri, Salmoniformes, Salmonidae.